Molecule: ribosomal RNA, 441 nt
Filed under: uncultured bacterium
Lineage: Bacteria
Description: partial 16S ribosomal RNA
Rfam family: Bacterial small subunit ribosomal RNA
Source: RNAcentral
CCUACGGGCGGCUGCAGUGGGGGAUAUUGCACAAUGGGGGGAACCCUGAUGCAGCGACGCCGCGUGGGUGAAGGAGUGCUUCGGCAUGUAAAGCCCUAUCGGCAGGGAAGAAGCAAUACGGUACCUGACUAAGAAGCCCCGGCUAACUACGUGCCAGCAACCGCGGUAAUACGUAGGGGGCGAGCGUUAUCCGGAUUCACUGGGUGUAAAGGGAGCGUAGACGGCCAUGCAAGCCAGGGGGGAAAGCCCGGGGCCCAACCCCGGGACUGCCCUUGGAACUGUGCGGCUAGAGUGCGGGAGGGGCAGGCGGAAUUCCUGGUGUAGCGGUGAAAUGCGUAGAUAUCAGGAGGAACACCGGCGGCGAAGGCGGCCUGCUGGACCGCGACUGACGUUGAGACUCGAAAGCGUGGGGAGCGAACAGGAUUAGAUACCCCUGUAGUC